RNAcentral lists this ribosomal RNA (1464 nucleotides) under Triticum aestivum (bread wheat). RNAcentral describes it as "partial small subunit ribosomal RNA". The record is from RNAcentral. Lineage: Eukaryota; Viridiplantae; Streptophyta; Magnoliopsida; Poales; Poaceae.
AUGGAGUCUUUGCUUUCAGUACUUGCUUAUGCCUCCUUCUUCUUCCUUGUCCUAGCUGUGUUCCGACGCAUCUGCCGUGUGCCGGCGCGGGUGAUCCCUCAGCCGAUCAUCGAGAUCAGCGAUGCUGCCGUCACCAGGCGCGCACUGGUUGAGUACGCCGACGCUUUCUCCAACCGCCCAAUGUCCAUGUUCCGCAUCCCUAUCGUCAAAGGUCACCGCCGCCGACGGAGCGACAACAUAAUCUCCGUGCCAUACGGCCCGCUCUGGCGCACCCUGCGGUGCAACCUCGCAGCGGAGACCAUCCACCCCACGCGCUACGCUUCCUAUGUGCCGCUGCGACGGGCGGCCAUCGACGACAUCGUCGCUAGCGUCCAGUCAGCCGCAAGCAAGGGCAGGGCGGUGGUCGUCCGCGACGGCCUCUAUGCCGCCGUGUUCUCCAUGAUUGCACGCAUGUGCUUUGGAGAAGGCCUGGUCGACGAGGCCGACGUGCGGGUCAUGCAGUGCGAGUUCCGGGAGUUCAUCCUCGCCGCCGUGGAAUCCACCUCCACGUGCGAGUCUAAGCUCUUGGGCUACUGGAGGCGACGGCAAAGAGAUCCUAUCGCCUUGCGCCGCCGGCUGGCCGAGCUUUUCCUCCCUCUCAUCGAGGAGGCACGGCGGCAGUCGUCACGAUUUUGCGACGGCCACGCCCGUUCAUACGUCGAUUCGCUCAUCCGUCUCCGCGUUCCAGACGAGGACGACGACAAUGACGAGCAUCUACGCCGAGCCCUCACGGAAGACGAGAUGGUGAGCCUCGUGUUAGAAUUCCUCGGCGCCGGCACGGAGACCGUUGUGGCUUGCGUGGAGUGGACCCUCGCUCACCUAGUCACCCGGCCGGAGAUCCAGAACAAACUGCGUCGCGAGGCCAUCAUCAACAUCAAGUACGACGGUGACAACAAGUAUCCCUCCGAGUCCGAGGACGAGGAGAGAGAAAUACUCCACCGCGGCAUGGCGCCGUACCUCCACGCCGUGGUGCUCGAGAGCCUCCGCAUGCACCCGCCGACGCCGUUCGUCAUGCGCGACAUCCGCGCCGAGGGAGGAGUGGUCCGCCAAACGGCCAUGCCGGCCGGCGGUUUGCGCGUGCACUUCGUCUUGGGGGACAUCGGGAGGGACCCCAAGACAUGGACGGAUCCCGACGAGUUCCGGCCGGAGAGGUUCCUUGCCGGAGGAGAGGGAGAGGCCGUUGGGCCUCUGCCGGGGCCCAAGGAGAUCAAGAUGAUGCCGUUCGGCGCAGGGCGGAGGUACUGCCCAGGCAUGGCUCUGGGGAUGCUCAAUGUCAAGUGCUUGCUGGCAGCGCUGGUGCGCGAGUUCGAGUGGACCGAGGGAAAUUGUGGCGUCGACCUCACGGAGCUCGACGGAUUCUUCAAAGCGAUGAAGAAGCCACUUCGUGCUCGUGUCACGCCUCACACGUGCAUGCAACAAAUGUAA